UCAUCGGCCUCAGAUUGGUAGGACUACCCGCUGAACUUAAGCAUAUCAAUAAGCGGAGGAAAAGAAACUAACAAGGAUUCCCCUAGUAACGGCGAGUGAAGAGGGAAGAGCCCAAGAUUGAAAGCUGGCGUCUUCGGCGUCCGCAUUGUAAUCUCAAGAAGUGUUUUCCGCUUCGGACCAAGCCUAAGUCCCCUGGAAAGGGGCAUCAUAGAGGGUGAUAAUCCCGUACAUGGCUUGGAGCGCCCGUAGCUUUGUGAUACACUUUCUAAGAGUCGAGUUGUUUGGGAAUGCAGCUCAAAAUGGGUGGUAAAUGCCAUCUAAGGCUAAAUAUUGGGGAGAGACCGAUAGCGAACAAGUACAGUGAUGGAAAGAUGAAAAGAACUUUGAAAAGAGAGUUAAACAGUACGUGAAAUUGCCAAAAGGGAAGGGUAGGAGGUCAGAGAUGCGGCCUAGGAUUCAGCCUUGCUUUUGCUUGGUGUUUUUCCUAGAUUGCAGGCCAACGUCGGUUUUGGGCACUGGAGAAGGGUGGAAGGAACGUGGCACCUCUCGGGGUGUGUUAUAGCCUUCUACUGGAUACAGCGACCGAGACCGAGGACAGCAGCGUACUCGCAAGAGCGGGCCUUCGGGCACCUUUACGCUUAGGGCGUUGGCAUAAU
Molecule: ribosomal RNA, 656 nt
Filed under: Pseudozyma tsukubaensis
Lineage: Eukaryota; Fungi; Basidiomycota; Ustilaginomycetes; Ustilaginales; Ustilaginaceae
Description: eukaryotic LSU rRNA
Rfam family: Eukaryotic large subunit ribosomal RNA
Source: RNAcentral